AUGGCUCCUAAGAAAGUCACGGUCCGUCCCGGCUCAGCCCCUGUUGCAAAACGGCCUAUCAGAGGUCCAUCGCAGGCGCUUCGCUCUCCCACCCUGAGUCAACCGGCAGGACGAGUGCAAUCGAUGGUGGACAGUAUGGCGGGCGAUCCAGUAGCCUUAUCUCGCUUCACAGCCGAAAUGGAUGGUUUCCUUCAACAGUGUUCUGCUCAGCCUUCCGCGUCUAGAAGGCGUCAGCGUCCAGUCAUGGCGCCAUCCCCAGCGUCACCGUCGUCUAGUGACGAGGAGAGAGAUGGCUCAUCACCCGGGGGUUUGAUGAUUGAUUCUCAGAUAGCACAUCCCUGCGACUUACCUGCUGCCCGUGGCCGUUCUCGGAGGCCAUGCCGUUCCUCUGGGAGGGCGGCGAGGGGGAAAACCCCUUUGGUAGCUUCCACCCGCCGGGCUGCGCUCACUCAGCCUUCGGAUGAGGUGGCCUCAGGUUCCGGGAUCUCACCUGUUGUUUCUCCUCGCUUAGCUUCAGGUGCGUCACAGCUGAGCCCUGAUUACGGGUCUUCCAUGGAUGACAGUCUAUCAAUUCCUGCCAGGGAGUCUUCGGGCGGUAAACGUCGCUCCAGGAGGUCCUCACUGAAGCGUGUCAGCCAGAGGAGGAGCGGAUCAUCAUCUUCUUAUACUGCCCCAGGUCCUUCUCGGCAGGAUCCUGAUUCCGAGUCCUCCAUUGAAGACAGCUUGCCAGUGCCUCCCAGACGGUCGUCAGGUGGAAAGCGUCGCCGCAGGAGAUCUUCGCGGAGGCGCGCAAAACGGAGAAGGGACGACUCGUCGUCCUCUUAUACCGGUCAGGCGGCUGUCCGAGUGUGGAUGGUGGGGCACAGCAUCGUACAUUGGGCUGGUGUCGCAGCACGUCGGGCAGGUGUGUGUCCAGAGCUUGGCCUUCCUCCGCAUGUUCAGUUGUCCUGGCUGUCCAGACGAGGAAUGCUUUGGUCGGAGCUCCUGCCGCGGAUCCGGAGCCAGUUGCUCCGGGAGGGGCCGCCAGCGGCUAUCGUAAUACAGCUGGGAGAGAACGACCUGGUCGAUAUGGGCUGUGCUUCACUGCGUGCUGCUAUUUGGACGGACUUGGGGACAUUGCGGGCAAUGGUGCCUACAGCAAUGAUAUUUUGGUCGCAGCUUUUGCAACGACGUGUGUGGAGGGGCAGUCGUUGCCCAGUCGCCACAGAAAGGGCCAGGAAGCGCAUCAAUUCUGCGGUGACACACCGGAUGGCUGAGCUGGGGGUGAAGUGAUCUCUCACCCUGCGAUUCUUUUUAAGAUGCCAUCCUUUUUCCGAGAUGAUGGCGUGCACCUUUCUGCUUCAGGGAAUGAGGCUUGGUUAGGUGCGGUGGCUGCCAAGUUGAGGUCUUGGCUGGGGCUGUGAGUGGUUUGGCGGCGAGCUGGAGGCUCCAUGGCGGUUAGGCAUUGGUUAAUUGGGGCUUGGAGGGGUAAGUGCCUACCCCUCCAAAUGAUGCGAUAAGGGAAUUCCGUUAAAGGAAUCCAGGGGCUUGCCAUUCUUUCGUCCUUGUCCGUGGAGCCGGACUUGGGCCGUGCAAGCCCCACCGGAACAUGAGGGUGAGAAGCGAGGGCCAGUUUCCCGGCCUCACUUCUCAUCCAAUACUUGUUUCCCACGCUGGCUUCCGGUGGAGUCCGGAAGGGCCAGCACUGUCCUUGAGGGCUAGGACAGAUAGUCAAACCAAUGCCUAAGCAACCACUCACAAUUUUUUGUAUUUUAAAUAAAGUUGUGGCCAAAAAUUUAUGCCAAAAACCUUAAACAAAAAUUGACGUGUGAAGUGUGUAAUUAUUUGGGGGGUGGCAC
This 1838-nucleotide long non-coding RNA is filed under the name Podarcis muralis (Common wall lizard). Its description in RNAcentral is "lncRNA (ENSPMRG00000018721.1)". The record is from RNAcentral. Lineage: Eukaryota; Metazoa; Chordata; Lepidosauria; Squamata; Lacertidae.